Molecule: ribosomal RNA, 468 nt
Filed under: uncultured bacterium
Lineage: Bacteria
Description: partial 16S ribosomal RNA
Rfam family: Bacterial small subunit ribosomal RNA
Source: RNAcentral
GACGAACGCUGGCGGCGUGCUUAACACAUGCAAGUCGAACGGAAAGGCCCUGCUUUUGUGGGGUGCUCGAGUGGCGAACGGGUGCGUAACACGUGAGUAACCUGCCCUUGACUUUGGGAUAACUUCAGGAAACUGGGGCUAAUACCGGAUCGGAGCUCCUGCUGCAUGGUGGGGGUUGGAAAGUUUCGGCGGUUGGGGUUGGACUCGCGGCUUAUCAGCUUGUUGGUGGGGUAGUGGCCUACCAAGGCUUUGACGGGUAGCCGGCCUGAGAGGGUGGCCGGCCACAUUGGGACUGCGAUACGGCCCAGACUCCUACGGGAGGCAGCAGUGGGGAAUAUUGCACAAUGGGCGGAAGCCUGAUGCAGCAACGCCGCGUGCGGGAUGACGGCCUUCGGGUUGUAAACCGCUUUCGCCUGUGACGAAGCGUGAGUGACGGUAAUGGGUAAAGAAGCACCGGCUAACUACGUG